GACGAACGCUGGCGGCGUGCUUAACACAUGCAAGUCGAACGGAAAGGCCCUGCUUUUGUGGGGUGCUCGAGUGGCGAACGGGUGAGUAACACGUGAGUAACCUGCCCUUGACUUUGGGAUAACUUCAGGAAACUGGGGCUAAUACCGGAUAGGAGCUCCUGCUGCAUGGUGGGGGUGGGAAAGUUUCGGCGGUUGGGGAUGGACUCGCGGCUUAUCAGCUUGUUGGUGGGGUAGUGGCUUACCAAGGCUUUGACGGGUAGCCGGCCUGAGAGGGUGACCGGCCACAUUGGGCCUGAGAUGCGGCCCAGACUCCUACGGGGGGCAACAGUGGGGAAUAUUGCACAAUGGGCGGAAGCCUGAUGCAGCAACGCCGCGUGCGGGAUGACGGCCUUCGGGUUGUAAACCGCUUUCGCCUGUGACGAAGCGUGAGUGACGGUAAUGGGUAAAGAAGCACCGGCUAACUACGU
Molecule: ribosomal RNA, 467 nt
Filed under: uncultured bacterium
Lineage: Bacteria
Description: partial 16S ribosomal RNA
Rfam family: Bacterial small subunit ribosomal RNA
Source: RNAcentral